Molecule: long non-coding RNA, 2095 nt
Organism: Anopheles arabiensis
Lineage: Eukaryota; Metazoa; Arthropoda; Insecta; Diptera; Culicidae
Exons: 3
Source: RefSeq, a predicted model, not a curated record
AUCACCUGUGGAGGGGGCGAGGGAAAUGAGAAACAAAUGCUACCGUUAGCAUACGCGUCCUAAGAACACUGGAAAUAGCACGUCCCCGUGUGUUAACUUGAUGUGCGCGUGACGCGGCUGAUGACGGGCCAUUAGGAUUAGGCUCGUGCUACAGGUACCGUCGGGCUGUGACAGGUUUGAAGGUACAAGAAAAGGUGUAAAAUCCGCUUCCGCACGGUCAGCAGCCGAAGGGUGAGCAUCGUUUUCGUGCAAGGUAACCCGUUCUAAGGACUUGGGCAUUGGGUUGAUGGUGGAAAAAGUAACAAACAAAGCAAUAACCCAUCCCGCAUGGCUUACCUUAACGCUUUGGUCGUCGAGGUCGUGCACCAGAAUUUUGCGCUUCUUGUGUCUUUUCUUCUUACAGUGUCGAUGGUGAUGAUGAUGAUGUCUGCUUCCGGGAUGUUUUGCAUCGUCCCAGCAACGCAUAAAAGGGGCCGACGCAUGAAACAGCAAGGAUACCGAGCAUCAGGUAAGGUGCGGUGGGAUAUUCUUAUGCCAUUUUUAUUAGAGCCUCUUGAGCGAUCGGGUUUCGCCACCAAGAGGACCGGUGGCACAUGGUAAAUCGGGGUAAAAGUAUGCCAGCGGCUUACAAUACAAUGCAUACGGUUGGACCGGUGGCAGCACUCCGGGGACGAAGCAACAGCGCCACAGGGUCCACCUUGACGUCAGAGUCGCCGGGGAGUCCUUGUUUGCUAACAUGACCCAAGAUUCGGUCUCUUGAGUGAAGUACCCGCCAGAGUAGGUCUUGUAAGGAGACGCAACCUACUCGCUACUGUUUCUGCGUCUCGUAUCGAUCUUUGGUGUGGAAUUGCCUGCGUACAGUGGCUCUCUUAAGACACGGCACUAUUGAAUCCAGCUCCCCGUGACGUUCGGAUUCAAUUUGCAGUGAAACAUCGUACAUGAAGUCUUCGUCGUAGGGGAAUUGACUACUCGCAGAUGUGAUGGGUUGGGUUGGUGUGGAACCACGUUCGGUGCCGUAAACGGUGCAGCAAGCGGGAAGGCAGACGGGCAAACGGGCAGGUGCGUACAUGCGAGGAACAUUGAGAGAAACAGAUAACAAGAGUGAACGGUGAGAGACAAUCAGGCAACUAUUGAAGGCUGCUUGUGAGCGGGCGGGCAAGGACAUAGAGAACGAAGCUUACGUUCGGACGGUAGCCUUCGUACAUGACCUUCUUCAGGACUGAUACAAUAAUACUAUCUCAUGCGUAUGGAUCCACCCAGGUGUAUAAGAAUACACGCGGUAGUAACGUGAUCGAGCGAGAGCGAAUAAAAUCUGACAGUCCUUUGAACUCAGCGACCUUUCCACCAAACAGGUAAUUGAAGGAGUUUACUUAUUAAGAAUCAUCACACACUGACAUAACCGGAAGUAGUGGUACAUGGUACGAGGUCGGUACAGACUGUUAGUGUCAAGUAAUGCUCGAGAUUUUAAUGACAGGUCCUGGACCGGAACUGGGAGCUGCUCUUAAACGCAAUCCAUCCCAAUGAGAGGAAGCACACAAAUUAAUCUGGUUCUGAUUGUAAUUAGCGAGCAAGUGCGUGAAUCAGCACAUUCGUUGGGAUUAGUGUUAACGUGUUAACAGCGCUUAGCCUUGUAAUGAGGACGUGAUUUUAAGUAAUUUAUUGCGUUGUGCUUGUGAUUAAUAUUACCUGAUGAAAACCCCAAGAAUGAAUACAUUUCAUACAUUAAAGUGAACUUUUGUGUUGUUAUGUGGAGCCUUUUGACGAAGACUAUGAGUGGCUUUAAUUUAGUAAUGUUUACUUCAAAUAUGUUAAUAUCAAGAUUUCAUGCUUAUUGUUUGAAAAUUGUCGUUAUUUAAAAAAAUGAUUAUGGCAGUGUUGUUUUGUGUUUGAUUGUGAGUUAAUAUAUUGAAAAAUACUAGUUUUGGCAUCAAAAAAUAACAUCACUACUUGCAUAAAAAGGAAAACCGUGUAGUUAAAAAACAGUUCGAUAUUAAAGAUAUGUGUACUCGGUAACUUUCAAUAAUAUUGUUUUAAGGAUUUUAUCAAUUUAUAUUUACACAAAAACUAAACUUUCUUUUAAACUAUUCCUAUAACA